GACGAACGCUGGCGGCGUGCUUAACACAUGCAAGUCGAACGCCGAAGCUUGGUGCUUGCACUGGGUGGAUGAGUGGCGAACGGGUGAGUAAUACGUGAGUAACCUGCCCUUGACUCUGGGAUAAGCCUGGGAAACUGGGUCUAAUACUGGAUACGACAUGUCACCGCAUGGUGGUGUGUGGAAAGGGUUUUACUGGUUUUGGAUGGGCUCACGGCCUAUCAGCUUGUUGGUGGGGUAAUGGCUCACCAAGGCGACGACGGGUAGCCGGCCUGAGAGGGUGACCGGCCACACUGGGACUGAGACACGGCCCAGACUCCUACGGGAGGCAGCAGUGGGGAAUAUUGCACAAUGGGCGGAAGCCUGAUGCAGCGACGCCGCGUGAGGGAUGACGGCCUUCGGGUUGUAAACCUCUUUCAGCACGGAAGAAGCGAAAGUGACGGUACGUGCAGAAGAAGCGCCGGCUAACUACGUG
RNAcentral lists this ribosomal RNA (472 nucleotides) under uncultured bacterium. RNAcentral's name for it is "partial 16S ribosomal RNA". It matches the Rfam family "Bacterial small subunit ribosomal RNA", at positions 28 to 507 of the family's 1533-position model. The record is from RNAcentral.